AUUUGCAAUUAAUUAGUGGUUAAUGAUGCUCUAUGCUUGAAGCUUAUGCUCUGUUGUUUUUUUUUGUUUGUUUGUUUGUUUUGUUUUGUUUUUUGAUUAUUAUUUAUUUAUUUAUUUUCCCCUGAUACUGUCAUCUAUUAAUUGUUCUUAUUUUUGUUGGCUUUCAGGCAUAGUUCAGUAUUUGUAAUGCUUUCCCUAAUGGAGCUAUUUACAUCCUGGUGUCAAUUCACUUUUCAUUUUGUUUCAAUCAGCUAAAUUAAGUAUACUUUAAAAAUCUCUCACUGUACAAUAUUUUCUUUAGCCAAUCAGAAAUUGAGUCAGAAGGAAACCAAACACAAUCUUCUACAUUUUUUUUUUUUUGUAACUUUUUUUUUUUUUGUCAGAAAUAUAGAAAUAUGUUCCAGGAGUACCAGUGUGCAGAGAUGGAAAACCUCUUGCAUCUCUCAGUUACCCUCUUUCCUGUUCUGCUAAGGAUCUCAUCAGCCUUUCUUUUCUCAGGACCUGGUCAGGAGCCCUUGAUGCAUUUCUCCUCUUUUAUGAUCCCCAGUUCCUUUUCAGGGUUGUUCCCAGCUCUGCCACUAAAGCCUGCAUUCCUGUCUCCCAGCAAGGAGUGGGGCUGUACCACAGCGCCUGCUGUCAGCCCGACCCAUCCAACUAAAACAGAAGGAUCAGUAUGCUGCCAGCAUCCACCUCGUCAUUGUAAACACACAAAGCCCCAAAAAGAAACUGAGCAAAUAUUUCCUAAGGUAAGUGUGAAAAUCUCAGCCCUCGCUGGGCCCUUUCAGAUGAAUUUCUCUGUACAGUUACUAAGCUGAGUAUAUGGAAAAAAAAAAAAAGACCAUGUUUGUUGGUAGUUUUUUCCAGUGGCCUUACUGGAGUUGCCUUUGCUAACCAUUAUUAUACAGAAUUACUCGUGUCAGUGGGUGGCUUGGUUAAGCUUGGCUUCAGAGUUCUCAGGAGCUGGCUUCCUUGUAGUUAAAAAUUGAACAGCCUUCUUUAUUGCUUUAAAACACAAUGAUCAUCUGAGACUGAAAGUGGUUUGCUUGAUGUAUAGACCAUAGUUGUUGACAACAGGAAAAAAAGAGAAACUCAGCUGGUUAAUUUGUUUCUUACUAAUGUGGUGCUGUAUUAUUUGCCUUCCAAGGUCCUUAGAUGAAAUAUUUUUCAAACGUCAGCUCAUCAAGCCUCUGGACAGUCCAUAAAAUGUUGUAUCUGGUUUUGUAUUUAAACCCAACACAUAGUGAAAUGCAUUGCAGAGUCUGGGACAUCAUUUGAAAUAACCAGGUGAAUUUAAGAAAGCUUAAUUAAGAUAUUGUGACAUAGCUAAAAAUCUACUCUUCUGAGCAGUGCUGGGGGAAAUGUAGCAGAAAGAAGACCCUAUUUGUUACAGAUUUUCUUCAUCCAUCUCUCUAGGACAGUAACACUUUUGCUCACCAUGCCUGGGAGCCCUUGUUCCCUUUGAUCACAAUCUCACAGGCUUGCAGUUUCACUUCUCACUCCCGCCGCUCACUCAGAAUUCCUCCUGCAUUUCUCUGCGGUUUGCCAGCUCAGACAAGACUUAUCCAUUGUCAUAUUAUCAUAGAUUUAUUGAGUUUUAAUGUUCUUUAGUAUUUCUUUGAUUAGAAUUGACAAAAAAGGGAAAAUUAAGAAAUAGGAUGUAUUUAUACCCCAUUUGAACUCUGAUGAUUUUCACAGUGUUUUGAUUUGCUGUUAAAUUUCACGUGCUUUCAGCAUUUUGUUAAUUUUUAAAUUGUUGCAGUUUUGAAAAUUAUAUUUCAAUUUAAAAAUAAAAGCACAAACUUGUCUGUAGUUGUACA
Molecule: long non-coding RNA, 1817 nt
Filed under: Anas platyrhynchos platyrhynchos (common mallard)
Lineage: Eukaryota; Metazoa; Chordata; Aves; Anseriformes; Anatidae
Description: lncRNA (ENSAPLG00000017287.1)
Source: RNAcentral